Molecule: unclassified non-coding RNA, 343 nt
Filed under: soil metagenome
Description: partial contains 5.8S ribosomal RNA, internal transcribed spacer 2, and large subunit ribosomal RNA
Rfam family: 5.8S ribosomal RNA (bases 1-118)
Source: RNAcentral
UGAAGAACGUAGCGAAAUGCGAUACGUAAUGUGAAUUGCAGAAUUCAGUGAAUCAUCGAGUCUUUGAACGCACAUUGCGCCCUCUGGUAUUCCGGAGGGCAUGCCUGUCCGAGCGUCAUUGCUGCCCUCAAGCACGGCUUGUGUGUUGGGCUCCGUCCCCCGAUCCCGGGGGACGGGCCCGAAAGGCAGCGGCGGCACCGCGCCCGGUCCUCGAGCGUAUGGGGCUUUGUCACCCGCUCUGUAGGCCCGGCCGGCGCUUGCCGAUCAACCAAAUUUUUAUCCAGGUUGACCUCGGAUCAGGUAGGGAUACCCGCUGAACUUAAGCAUAUCAAUAAGCGGAGGA